GUGUUGGGAAAUGGCUCUGCAGC
Molecule: non-coding RNA, 23 nt
Filed under: Cricetulus griseus (Chinese hamster)
Lineage: Eukaryota; Metazoa; Chordata; Mammalia; Rodentia; Cricetidae
Source: RNAcentral